UACGUAGGGAGCAAGCGUUGUUCGGAUUUACUGGGCGUAAAGGGCGCGUAGGCGGCAAAUUAAGUCAGCUGUGAAAUCUCCGAGCUUAACUCGGAACGGUCAGCUGAUACUGAUCUGCUAGAGUGCGGAAGGGGCAAUCGGAAUUCUUGGCGUAGCGGUGAAAUGCGUAGAUAUCAAGAGGAACACCUGAGGUGAAGACGGGUUGCUGGGCCGACACUGACGCUGAGUGCGCGAAGGCUAGGGGAGCGAACGGG
RNAcentral lists this ribosomal RNA (254 nucleotides) under uncultured bacterium. Its description in RNAcentral is "partial 16S ribosomal RNA". It matches the Rfam family "Bacterial small subunit ribosomal RNA", at positions 524 to 776 of the family's 1533-position model. The record is from RNAcentral.